CCCUUAGAUGUUCUGGGCUGCACGCGUGCUACACUGAUAUUGCCAAUAUGUCAUUCUUAUCCGAAAUGGAUUGGGUAAUCAAGUAAUGAAAUUUCAUGCUUGGAAUCGGUAAUUGCAAUUUUAUCGUGAACGAGGAAUUCCUAGUAAGCACUAGUCAUCAGCUAAUGUUGAUUAUGUCCCUGCCCUUUGUACACACCGCCCGUCGCUACUACCGAUUGAAUGAUUUAGUGAGUACCAGGGACCGAGCGCUUUGGUUGGGUUUCCUUCCCUAGCGCUUGGGAACUGUCGCAAACUUGACCAUUUAGAGGAAGUAAAAGUCGUAACA
Molecule: ribosomal RNA, 325 nt
Filed under: uncultured eukaryote
Lineage: Eukaryota
Description: partial 18S ribosomal RNA
Rfam family: Eukaryotic small subunit ribosomal RNA
Source: RNAcentral